Molecule: ribosomal RNA, 674 nt
Filed under: uncultured Candidatus Poseidoniales archaeon
Lineage: Archaea; Methanobacteriati; Thermoplasmatota; Candidatus Poseidoniia; Candidatus Poseidoniales
Description: bacterial SSU rRNA
Rfam family: Archaeal small subunit ribosomal RNA
Source: RNAcentral
CCCUAUGGGGUGCAGCAGGCGCGAAAACUUCACACUGCAGGAAACUGUGAUGAGGGAACUCCUAGUGCAUGCACUAUGUGUAUGUAGAUCCUACUCUUAACAAGUAGAGGGAGGGCUGGGAAAGACCGGUGCCAGCCGCCGCGGUAAUACCGGCAGCUCAAGUGGUCGUCGCUUUUAUUGGGCCUAAAACGUCCGUAGCCUGUUUGGUAAAUCUGUGGGUAAAUCAACUUGCUCAACGGGUUGAAUUCUGCAGAGACUGCCAGACUAGGGACCGGGAGAGGUGUGGGGUACUCGAGGGGUAGGGGUAAAAUCCUGUCAUCCUUCGAGGACCACCAGUUGCGAAGGCGCCACACUGGAACGGAUCCGACGGUCAGGGACGAAGCCUAGGGGCACGAACCGGAUUAGAUACCCGGGUAGUCCUAGGUGUAAACGCUGUGAACUUGGUGUCGGGGGUCCGCAAGGGGUCCCCGGUGCCGGAGUGAAGAUGUUAAGUUCACUGCCUGGGGAGUACGGUCGCAAGGCUGAAACUUAAAGGAAUUGGCGGGGGAGCACUGCAACGGGAGGAGCGUGCGGUUUAAUUGGAUUCAACGCCGGAAAACUCACCAGGGCCGACUGUUAUAUGAAGACCAGCGUAAUGAGCUUGUCGGAUUUUCAGAGAGAGGUGCAUGGGCCAA